This 819-nucleotide non-coding RNA is filed under the name Papilio helenus. Lineage: Eukaryota; Metazoa; Arthropoda; Insecta; Lepidoptera; Papilionidae. The record is from RNAcentral.
AAAUAAAUUUUUUAUGAUUUAUAAAAUUUAAUUUAAGUUUAUUUUACAUAUAAAUUUUAGUAUGAAUUUUUAAUUAUUUUAAUAAUUUUUAAAAAUUAAUUUAUAGUAAUUAAUAUUAAAAAUUUAAGAAAUUAAGAUUUAGUAAUAUUUGAAGUUAUUAACAAAUUUUGUGCCAGCAGUUGCGGUUAAACAAAAAAUAAUUUAAAUUUUAUUGGUAAAUAAUAAAUAUUAAAAUAUUAUAUAUAUAUAUAUAUAUAUAUUUAAAUUAUGAAUUAAAUAGUAAAUUAUUAGGUGAAAUUUUAAUUUAUUUAAAAUUUUAUUAGAUAAUAUGAUUUAUAAAAUUUUUUAAAAAACUAGAAUUAGAUACUCUAUUAUUAAAAAUUAAAUAAAAAUACUAAAAUAGUAUAUAAUUAUUUGUUGAAACUUAAAUAAUUUGGCGGUAUUUUAGUUCAUUUAGAGGAAUCUGUUUAAUAAUUGAUAUUCCACGAAUAAAUUUACUUAAUUUAUAUAAUAAUUUAUAUUUUGUAUAUCGUUGUUAAAAAAAUAUUUUUUAAUAAAAAUAAUAUUUUAAAAUUUAAAAAAUAAAUUAAUUCAGAUCAAGAUGCAGAUUAUAAUUAAGAAUAUAAUGGAUUACAAUAAGGAAUGAUUAAAUGAAUAAUAUUUUUUAAAAGAUAUUUAAAGGUGGAUUUAAAUGUAAUUUUAUUUAAUUUAUUAGAAUGAUUAAAAAUUGGAAUAUGUACAUAUUGCCCGUCGCUUUCAUUAAUAAAUUGGAAUAAGUCGUAACAAAGUAGAGGUACUGGAAAGUGUUUCUAGAAAGAU